UACGGGGGGGGCAAGCGUUGUUCGGAAUUACUGGGCGUAAAGGGCUCGUAGGUGGCCAACUAAGUCAGACGUGAAAUCCCUCGGCUUAACCGGGGAACUGCGUCUGAUACUGGAUGGCUUGAGUUUGGGAGAGGGACGCGGAAUUCCAGGUGUAGCGGUGAAAUGCGUAGAUAUCUGGAGGAACACCGGUGGCGAAGGCGGUCUGCUGGGCGAGUUGCUGACACUGGAGGCGCGACAGCGUGGGGAGCAAACAGG
This 255-nucleotide ribosomal RNA is filed under the name uncultured bacterium. RNAcentral's name for it is "partial 16S ribosomal RNA". It matches the Rfam family "Bacterial small subunit ribosomal RNA", at positions 524 to 776 of the family's 1533-position model. The record is from RNAcentral.